CCUACGGGAGGCAGCAGUGGGGAAUCUUCCGCAAUGGGCGAAAGCCUGACGGAGCAACGCCGCGUGAUCGAAUGAAGGCCUUCGGGUUGUAAAGAUCUGUUGACAGGGACGAAUAAGCAAUGCGAAUAGUUUUGUGUAUGACGGUACCUGUUUAGAAAGGUCCGGCUAACUACGUGCCAGCAGCCGCGGUAAUACGUAGGGAGCAAUCGUUGUCCGGAAUUACUGGGCGUAAAGGGCGCGUAGGUGGGCGCUUAAGUCAGGUGUGAAAGCUACGGGCUCAACCGUGAGAUUGCAGUUGAUACUGGGUGUCUUGAGGGCAGGAGAGGAAAGGGGAAUUCGUGGUGUAGCGGUGAAAUGCGUAGAUAUUAGGAGGAACACCGGUGGCGAAGGCGACUUUCUGGACUGUAACUGACGCUGAGGCGCGAAAGCGUGGGUAGCGAACGGGAUUAGAUACCCUAGUAGUC
This 464-nucleotide ribosomal RNA is filed under the name uncultured bacterium. RNAcentral describes it as "partial 16S ribosomal RNA". It matches the Rfam family "Bacterial small subunit ribosomal RNA", at positions 338 to 795 of the family's 1533-position model. The record is from RNAcentral.